CAGAGCAUCAUGCCCUUCGGGGUAGAUCUCCCACCCUAUGUAUUUAUACCUUUUGUUGCUUUGGCGGGCCGCCUCGGCCACCGGCUUCGGCUGGUGCGUGCCCGCCAGAGGACCCCAAACUCUGAAUGUUAAUGUCGUCUGAGUACUAUAUAAUAGUUA
This 159-nucleotide unclassified non-coding RNA is filed under the name uncultured Coleophoma. Its description in RNAcentral is "sequence contains ITS1". Lineage: Eukaryota; Fungi; Ascomycota; Leotiomycetes; Helotiales. The record is from RNAcentral.